RNAcentral lists this unclassified non-coding RNA (342 nucleotides) under soil metagenome. Its description in RNAcentral is "partial contains 5.8S ribosomal RNA, internal transcribed spacer 2, and large subunit ribosomal RNA". The stretch from base 1 to 120 matches the Rfam family "5.8S ribosomal RNA", at positions 35 to 154 of the family's 154-position model. The record is from RNAcentral.
GAUGAAGAACGCAGCGAAAUGCGAUAAGUAAUGUGAAUUGCAGAAUUCAGUGAAUCAUCGAAUCUUUGAACGCACAUUGCGCCCGCCAGCACUCUGGCGGGCAUGCCUGUUCGAGCGUCAUUUCAACCAUCAAGCCCCCAGGGGCUUGAGCUGGGGCCCUGCGGCUGCCCGCAGGCCCUGAAAACCAGUGGCGGGCUCGCUAGUCACACCGAGCGCAGUAGCACAUCUCGCUCAGGGCGUGCGGCGGGCUCCUGCCGUGAAACCCCCCACUGUAACCCCAAAGGUUGACCUCGGAUCAGGUAGGAAUACCCGCUGAACUUAAGCAUAUCAAUAAGCGGAGGA